RNAcentral lists this transfer RNA (71 nucleotides) under Cavia porcellus (domestic guinea pig). It matches the Rfam family "tRNA". Rfam says of the family: Transfer RNA (tRNA) molecules are approximately 80 nucleotides in length. The record is from Rfam by way of RNAcentral. Lineage: Eukaryota; Metazoa; Chordata; Mammalia; Rodentia; Caviidae.
UACAGUGUGGUGUAUAGGUAACACAUAGAAUUUUGAAUUGUUUAAAGUAGGUUCAAAUCCUAUGAUUCUAG